GAUGAACGCUGGCGGCGUGCCUAAUACAUGCGAGUCGAGCGAACAGAUGAGGAGCUUGCUCCUCUGACGUUAGCGGCGGACGGGUGAGUAACACGUGGAUAACCUACCUAUAAGACUGGGAUAACUUCAGGAAACCGGAGCUAAUACCGGAUAAUAUAUUGAACCGCAUGGUUCAAUAGUGAAAGACGGUUUUGCUGUCACUUAUAGAUGGAUCCGCGCCGCAUUAGCUAGUUGGUAAGGUAACGGCUUACCAAGGCAACGAUGCGUAGCCGACCUGAGAGGGUGAUCGGCCACACUGGAACUGAGACACGGUCCAGACUCCUACGGGAGGCAGCAGUAGGGAAUCUUCCGCAAUGGGCGAAAGCCUGACGGAGCAACGCCGCGUGAGUGAUGAAGGUCUUCGGAUCGUAAAACUCUGUUAUUAGGGAAGAACAAAUGUGUAAGUAACUAUGCACGUCUUGACGGUACCUAAUCAGAAAGCCACGGCUAACUACGUG
This 497-nucleotide ribosomal RNA is filed under the name uncultured bacterium. Its description in RNAcentral is "partial 16S ribosomal RNA". It matches the Rfam family "Bacterial small subunit ribosomal RNA", at positions 28 to 507 of the family's 1533-position model. The record is from RNAcentral.